Molecule: ribosomal RNA, 497 nt
Filed under: uncultured bacterium
Lineage: Bacteria
Description: bacterial SSU rRNA
Rfam family: Bacterial small subunit ribosomal RNA
Source: RNAcentral
AGAGUUGAUCCUGGCUCAGGACGAACGCUGGCGGCAUGCCUAACACAUGCAAGUCGAACGGAGUAAUGACUUCGGUUAUUACUAGUGGCGAACGAGUGAGUAACACGUGAAUAAUCUGCCCUGUACGAUGGGAUAACAGCUGGAAACGGCUGCUAAUACCGUAUAUGACCACGCCGAGGCAUCUCGGAGGGGUGAAAGCGCUUAAGCGGUACAGGAUGAGUUCGCGUCCAAUUAGCUAGUUGGUGAGGUAACGGCCCACCAAGGCGACGAUUGGUAGCCGACCUGAGAGGGUGAUCGGCCACACUGGAACUGAGACACGGUCCAGACUCCUACGGGAGGCAGCAGUGGGGAAUAUUGGGCAAUGGAGGAAACUCUUUAACCCCCAGCAAUGCCGCGUGAGUGAUGAAGGUCUUCGGAUUGUAAAGCUCUUUGAUUGGGGACGAAUAAAUGACGGUACCCAAGGAACAAGCCCCGGCUAACUAUGUGCCAGCCGCUGC